AUGGGACACGUUAGACUUUGUCGACCCCCAAUGGCAUAUUUAGAGAGGGAGAGAGAGAGAGGGGGAGGAGGAGGAGGAGAGUCUAGACUAGACACACUCACAGAGAGCUUGAGAGUGAUCCAUGGCGACCUACCGUCCGGACAGCAACACCCUCCUGGCGGACGACUCGAUUCUGGAGUACGUGCUGGAGACGACGGUGUACCCGCGGGAACACGAGCGCCUGCGCGAGCUCCGCCUCAUCACGCAGCAGCACGCAAGUACGACGACGACGUAAGCUCGAUCUGUUUACGUUGUGUUCUUGCUGGCCUCUCCAGGCCCUUCAUGGGCUCGUCGCCGGAUCAGAUGCGGUUCUUCUCCGUCCUGCUCAAGAUGAUCGGCGCCAGCAACACAGUCGAGGUCGCCGUGUUCACUGGAUACUCAGCGCAUAUCCAGCCGUUCGUUCCCCCCCAGGACGCAUAA
Molecule: ribosomal RNA, 459 nt
Filed under: Triticum aestivum (bread wheat)
Lineage: Eukaryota; Viridiplantae; Streptophyta; Magnoliopsida; Poales; Poaceae
Description: partial small subunit ribosomal RNA
Source: RNAcentral